CUGGGAGAAGGGGUGUUGGCCAUGCCAGAGGUAGGCACAAAAUAAGACGAGACCAUCCUUCAGCUCACCCCCGGACCUCACAGAAACAAGUUGAAUGUUACGGGCUACAUCUUGCUUGUUUACUCCACACCAGUUGCUUGCAGGAGAGCAGGAUUUGGGCCCGGGGUAUUUAACAUGGCUCUUCCGGUCUCAUUAAUCACUAGAUGGUAGAAAGCGUGAGAUCUAAAUCCGUGACCGCUCCCUCCGGAGAUCCGGGGCUGAGGCGGCUAGGAUUUUAGCAGUACACUGAUUAUAUACCCGCGCUGCCUACUUAACCAAACUGCACCCGAGGGCUAAAUUAACCGACCUAAAUAAUUCAGUUAUCCCACACAGAAUGAAAGGCGAGAGCCCCUGCAUUGUUCUGGAAAUAUGCAAUUUAAUGCAGAUAGCACAGAACACCUUAGUCAAUUUCAAAUCCCGCCUCCUCGCUUUCACUUGCUCUACAGGAAAACCAGCCUGUGAGAAAACCCUUGUCUGUGUGACAUUGUUGCUUGCACGGUAAGGAUCCUUCUGACACCUACACAGAGGUGCUGCUGUGCCUCCAGAUGUCAUGUCCCAGAACCUUGUGUUUCAGGAGGGAAGGUAGCUGCAGGCUCCGGUGAUCCAAGAGAGAAAUCGCUGGGCAGCCGCUGUUGCGGCUGCUGCAGCAUCUGGAUGGGUGUGCAGCAAAGAUUUGCUGAUGCCUCUCACGUAGUAUUUUGCAGGAAGUUUCCAUACUUCUUCAAUUCAGUCGGUAGAAGGGGGAUUGGAGGGAAGCGGGGCUGAAUCAUCCAAAAGGGUUUUUUCUUUUUCGUUCUUUUAUUUUUAUUUAUUUUUUUUAACCCAGUUCGAGAAUUUCCAACCACAUCUUAACCAAGUGUUUGGAGAGGAGUCCCCGAGCGAUGCGUCCAUCCGUCUGAAGAAACGCCCACCGAUGACCCCUAGAGCCUCCGGAGGUGGUUGCUGGGGAUGUGUAGCCUGGGGAGCCUCAUUGGGUUUGUGGCCACAAGGGAGAAUCCCAGCAGGCGUAGACUCAAUCCUGAGCUUUCAACAGCUUGAGAACCUACACUGUGAGCCACUGCAACUUCUGCAGUUCAUCAGCAUGGGGCGAGAAGACAAGGAAGAACAGGUGUCCCUGGACUCCUGGAAGGGGAACUUUCUUCUUGGCUGGAUCCUGUUACAUAUAACUGAUUUGGGCAACAAUUUGAGAAUUCUGUGA
RNAcentral lists this long non-coding RNA (1237 nucleotides) under Gopherus agassizii (Agassiz's desert tortoise). RNAcentral's name for it is "lncRNA (ENSGAGG00000015264.1)". The record is from RNAcentral. Lineage: Eukaryota; Metazoa; Chordata; Testudines; Testudinidae.